Molecule: non-coding RNA, 136 nt
Organism: Triticum aestivum (bread wheat)
Lineage: Eukaryota; Viridiplantae; Streptophyta; Magnoliopsida; Poales; Poaceae
Source: Rfam
AUUCUACUCCCUCUGUUGCACAAUACAUGGCUUCUAUUUGUCAAAAUAUAUAUGCAUCUAGACAUGUUUUAGUAUAUAGGUACAUCCAUUUUUGGACAAAUGGAAGUCAAGUAUUUUGGAACGGAGGGAGUACACA